This 253-nucleotide ribosomal RNA is filed under the name uncultured bacterium. RNAcentral describes it as "partial 16S ribosomal RNA". It matches the Rfam family "Bacterial small subunit ribosomal RNA", at positions 524 to 776 of the family's 1533-position model. The record is from RNAcentral.
UACGUAGGGCGCAAGCGUUGUCCGGAAUUAUUGGGCGUAAAGAGCUCGUAGGCGGCUUGUCACGUCGGGUGUGAAAGCCCGGGGCUUAACCCCGGGUCUGCAUUCGAUACGGGCUGGCUAGAGUGUGGUAGGGGAGAUCGGAAUUCCUGGUGUAGCGGUGAAAUGCGCAGAUAUCAGGAGGAACACCGGUGGCGAAGGCGGUUCUCUGGGCAUGAUCUGACGCUGAGGAGCGAAAGUGUGGGGAGCGAACAGG